AUUGAACGCUGGCGGCAGGCUUAACACAUGCAAGUCGAGCGGAGAUGAGGUGCUUGCACCUUAUCUUAGCGGCGGACGGGUGAGUAAUGCUUAGGAAUCUGCCUAUUAGUGGGGGACAACAUUCCGAAAGGAAUGCUAAUACCGCAUACGUCCUCCGGGAGAAAGCAGGGGAUCUUCGGACCUUGCGCUAAUAGAUGAGCCUAGGUCGGAUUAGCUAGUUGGUGGGGUAAAGGCCUAACAAGGCGACGAUCUGGAGCGGGUCUGAGAGGAUGAUCCGCCACACUGGGACUGAGACACGGCCCAGACUCCUACGGGAGGCAGCAGUGGGGAAUAUUGGACAAUGGGGGGAACCCUGAUCCAGCCAUGCCGCGUGUGUGAAGAAGGCCUUAUGGUUGUAAAGCACUUUAAGCGAGGAGGAGGCUACUGAGACUAAUACUCUUGGAUAGUGGACGUUACUCGCAGAAUAAGCACCGGCUAACUCUGUGCCAGCCGCCACCGUAA
RNAcentral lists this ribosomal RNA (501 nucleotides) under uncultured bacterium. RNAcentral's name for it is "partial 16S ribosomal RNA". It matches the Rfam family "Bacterial small subunit ribosomal RNA", at positions 30 to 523 of the family's 1533-position model. The record is from RNAcentral.